UGGCAUGGUGAUUUCCCUAGAGGUUC
This 26-nucleotide unclassified non-coding RNA is filed under the name Mus musculus (house mouse). RNAcentral describes it as "oocyte_clustered_small_RNA7432". The record is from RNAcentral. Lineage: Eukaryota; Metazoa; Chordata; Mammalia; Rodentia; Muridae.